GAUGAACGCUGGCGGCGUGCCUAAUACAUGCAAGUCGAGCGAACAGAUGAGGAGCUUGCUCCUCUGACGUUAGCGGCGGACGGGUGAGUAACACGUGGAUAACCUACCUAUAAGACUGGGAUAACUUCGGGAAACCGGAGCUAAUACCGGAUAAUAUAUUGAACCGCAUGGUUCAAUAGUGAAAGACGGUUUUGCUGUCACUUAUAGAUGGAUCCGCGCCGCAUUAGCUAGUUGGUCAGGUAACGGCUUACCAAGGCAACGAUGCGUAGCCGACCUGAGAGGGUGAUCGGCCACCCUGGAACUGAGACACGGUCCAGACUCCUACGGGAGGCAGCAGUAGGGAAUCUUCCGCAAUGGGCGAAAGCCUGACGGAGCAACGCCGCGUGAGUGAUGACGGUCUUCGGAUCGUAAAACUCUGUUAUUAGGGAAGAACCAAUGUGUAAGUAACUAUGCACGUCUUGACGGUACCUAAUCAGAAAGCCACGGCUAACUACGUG
Molecule: ribosomal RNA, 497 nt
Filed under: uncultured bacterium
Lineage: Bacteria
Description: partial 16S ribosomal RNA
Rfam family: Bacterial small subunit ribosomal RNA
Source: RNAcentral